AUAUUGGACAAUGGGCGAAAGCCUGAUCCAGCCAUGCCGCGUGAGUGAUGAAGGCCUUAGGGUUGUAAAGCUCUUUCGCGCGCGACGAUAAUGACGGUAGCGCGAGAAGAAGCCCCGGCUAACUUCGUGCCAGCAGCCGCGGUAAUACGAAGGGGGCUAGCGUUGUUCGGAAUCACUGGGCGUAAAGCGCAUGCAGGCGGAUCGUUAAGUCGGGGGUGAAAUCCCGAGGCUCAACCUCGGAACUGCCUUCGAUACUGGCGAUCUUGAGUCCGGGAGAGGUGAGUGGAACUGCGAGUGUAGAGGUGAAAUUCGUAGAUAUUCGCAAGAACACCAGUGGCGAAGGCGGCUCACUGGCCCGGUACUGACGCUGAGGUGCGAAAGCGUGGGGAGCAAACAGG
This 398-nucleotide ribosomal RNA is filed under the name uncultured bacterium. Its description in RNAcentral is "bacterial SSU rRNA". It matches the Rfam family "Bacterial small subunit ribosomal RNA", at positions 361 to 776 of the family's 1533-position model. The record is from RNAcentral.